This 154-nucleotide small RNA is filed under the name Streptomyces sp. RNAcentral describes it as "c-di-AMP sequence". It matches the Rfam family "c-di-AMP riboswitch aptamer (ydaO/yuaA leader)". Rfam says of the family: This family represents a conserved RNA structure found upstream of the ydaO and yuaA genes in Bacillus subtilis and related genes in other bacteria. The ydaO/yuaA element is thought to act as a genetic "off" switch for the ydaO and yuaA genes in its native state. The record is from RNAcentral. Lineage: Bacteria; Bacillati; Actinomycetota; Actinomycetes; Kitasatosporales; Streptomycetaceae.
CACCGCCCCCUGCCGAAUCCGGUACGCCCCCACGGGUCCCGGAGCCGGGGACCCACCGCGUACCACCGGGGUGAAUCGGUUCUGACACCGUAGGGCAGCCUUCCGUACGCCCGAACCCGACAGCUAACCCGGCAGGCGGUCCACGGAAGGAGUU